UUUCCCUCAGGAUAGCUGGCACUCGCUUGAGCGAGUCUCAUCUGGUAAAGCGAAUGAUUAGAGGCCUUGGGGCCGAAACGACCUCAACCUAUUCUCAAACUUUAAAUGGGUGAGAUCUCUGGCUUGCUUGAACGUUGAAGCCACGAGAAUAAUUUAUAUUGCAAUGGAUCAGAGUGCCAAGUGGGCCAAUUUUGGUAAGCAGAA
Molecule: ribosomal RNA, 204 nt
Filed under: Ecdamua cadenati
Lineage: Eukaryota; Metazoa; Arthropoda; Insecta; Hymenoptera; Torymidae
Description: partial 28S ribosomal RNA
Rfam family: Eukaryotic large subunit ribosomal RNA
Source: RNAcentral